AACGAACGCUGGCGGCGUGCCUAACACAUGCAAGUCGAGCGAGAAAGUCCGCAAGGAUGAGUAAAGCGGCGCACGGGUGCGUAACACGUGGGUAAUCUUCCUUGGAGCCCGGAAUAACUCCCCGAAAGGGGUGCUAAUGCCGGAUAAGCCCACGGGAACCUUGGUUCCUGAGGGAAAGGUGGCCUCUGCACGCAAGCUACCACUCCUAGAUGAGCCCGCGGCCCAUCAGCUAGUUGGCGGGGUAAUGGCCCACCAAGGCUACGACGGGUAGCUGGUCUGAGAGGACGAUCAGCCACACUGGAACUGAGACACGGUCCAGACUCCUACGGGUGGCAG
Molecule: ribosomal RNA, 336 nt
Filed under: uncultured Pseudomonadota bacterium
Lineage: Bacteria; Pseudomonadati; Pseudomonadota
Description: bacterial SSU rRNA
Rfam family: Bacterial small subunit ribosomal RNA
Source: RNAcentral